RNAcentral lists this ribosomal RNA (1282 nucleotides) under uncultured bacterium. Its description in RNAcentral is "bacterial SSU rRNA". It matches the Rfam family "Bacterial small subunit ribosomal RNA", at positions 65 to 1345 of the family's 1533-position model. The record is from RNAcentral.
AACGGAGCACCCCUGAAGGAGUUUUCGGACAACGGAAGGGAAUGCUUAGUGGCGGACUGGUGAGUAACGCGUGAGGAACCUGCCUUUCGGAGGGGGACAACAGUUGGAAACGACUGCUAAUACCGCAUGAUACAUUUGGGUCGCAUGGUCUGAAUGUCAAAGAUUUAUCGCCGAAAGAUGGCCUCGCGUCUGAUUAGCUAGUUGGUGGGGUAACGGCCCACCAAGGCGACGAUCAGUAGCCGGACUGAGAGGUUGGCCGGCCACAUUGGGACUGAGAUACGGCCCAGACUCCUACGGGAGGCAGCAGUGGGGAAUAUUGGGCAAUGGACGCAAGUCUGACCCAGCAACGCCGCGUGAAGGAAGAAGGCUUUCGGGUUGUAAACUUCUUUUAAGGGGGAAGAGCAGAAGACGGUACCCCUUGAAUAAGCCACGGCUAACUACGUGCCAGCAGCCGCGGUAAUACGUAGGUGGCAAGCGUUGUCCGGAUUUACUGGGUGUAAAGGGCGUGCAGCCGGAGAGACAAGUCAGAUGAGAAAUCCACGGGCUCAACCCGUGAACUGCAUUUGAAACUGUUUCCCUUGAGUGUCGGAGAGGUAAUCGGAAUUCCACGCGAAGCGGGAGAAAAGCGCAGAUCUUGGAGAGAACACCAGAGGNGAAGGCGGAGANNNGGANGANAACNGACGGNGAGGCGCGAAAGCGGGGGGAGCCUUUCUAUGUGAGANACNNNGGNAGUNCAAGAAAGGAAAGGACACGCUGACUGUUGGGCGGGGACUGACCCCCUGCGUGCCGGAGUUAACACAAUAAGUAUCGCACCUGGGGAGUACGAUCGCAAGGUUGAAACUCAAAGGAAUUGACGGGGGCCCGCACAAGCGGUGGAUUAUGUGGUUUAAUUCGAAGCAACGCGAAGAACCUUACCAGGGCUUGACAUCCUGCUAACGAAGUAGAGAUACAUUAGGUGCCCUUCGGGGAAAGCAGAGACAGGUGGUGCAUGGUUGUCGUCAGCUCGUGUCGUGAGAUGUUGGGUUAAGUCCCGCAACGAGCGCAACCCCUAUUGUUAGUUGCUACGCAAGAGCACUCUAGCGAGACUGCCGUUGACAAAACGGAGGAAGGCGGGGACGACGUCAAAUCAUCAUGCCCCUUAUGUCCUGGGCUACACACGUAAUACAAUGGCGGUUAACAAAGGGAUGCAAAGCCGCGAGGCAGAGCGAACCCCAAAAAGCCGUCCCAGUUCGGAUCGCAGGCUGCAACCCGCCUGCGUGAAGUCGGAAUCGCUAGUAAUCGC